CCUACGGGUGGCAGCAGUAGGGAAUUUUCGUCAAUGGGCGCAAGCCUGAACGAGCAAUGCCGCGUGAACGAGGAAGGUCUUCGGAUCGUAAAGUUCUGUUGAAGGGGAAAAAGAGCGGAGAGAGGAAAUGGUCUCCGAUUGAUAUUACCCUUCGAGGAAGUCACGGCUAACUACGUGCCAGCAGCCGCGGUAAUACGUAGGUGGCGAGCGUUAUCCGGAAUGAUUGGGCGUAAAGGGUGCGUAGGCGGCCUGCUAAGUCUGGAGUGAAAGGUACCGGCUCAACCGGUACAGGCUCUGGAAACUGGCGGGCUAGAGAGCAGGAGAGGGCGGUGGAAAGCCAUGGGUAGCGGUAAAAUGCGUAGAUAUAUGGAAGAACACCAGUGGCGAAGGCGACCGCCUGGCCUGUUGACUGACGCUGAGGCACGAAAGCGUGGGGAGCAAAUAGGAUUAGAUACCCCUGUAGUC
Molecule: ribosomal RNA, 465 nt
Filed under: uncultured bacterium
Lineage: Bacteria
Description: partial 16S ribosomal RNA
Rfam family: Bacterial small subunit ribosomal RNA
Source: RNAcentral